AGAUGUUGUAGAACUACAACUCCCAUGAUGCUUUGUCAUUCUAAAGGCAGGCAAAGCAUCAUGGGAGUUGUAGUUCUACAACA
Non-coding RNA from Pelobates cultripes (western spadefoot toad), 83 nucleotides. NCBI's taxonomy places the organism in Eukaryota, Metazoa, Chordata, Amphibia, Anura, Pelobatidae. The record is from the annotation of a GenBank genome assembly.